This 382-nucleotide unclassified non-coding RNA is filed under the name fungal sp. RNAcentral's name for it is "partial internal transcribed spacer region". The stretch from base 1 to 46 matches the Rfam family "Eukaryotic small subunit ribosomal RNA", at positions 1786 to 1831 of the family's 1831-position model. Lineage: Eukaryota; Fungi. The record is from RNAcentral.
AAGUCGUAACAAGGUUUCCGUAGGUGAACCUGCGGAAGGAUCAUUAACACGUAUCCACGUACCUACUAGUAAAACUUUUUGGUGUCAUGAGCUCUCAGCGACCAAGAACAUGAGACCCGCAAACGGUAGAGUUCCUUCGGGAACUGUCUCCUUGGUAGAGGGCCAUAAAGUCUUGAGAUUUUUGACAUUAAACAUCUCCCGAGUCUUCUGCUUGCAGAGGGCUUGUAGUUUCUGGCUGCCGUUUUGUACUUGGUUGUCCCCAAUUUUUCACCAGUUGUUUAUUUUUAUUGUCUGAAUCUAAAGGGUUUUGGCUUGGAAACAAGCAAAAUCCGGUUUGUCGCGAAUGUUUUUACAACUCUUAGCAACGGAUAUCUUGGUUCUC